RNAcentral lists this ribosomal RNA (403 nucleotides) under uncultured bacterium. RNAcentral's name for it is "bacterial SSU rRNA". It matches the Rfam family "Bacterial small subunit ribosomal RNA", at positions 355 to 775 of the family's 1533-position model. The record is from RNAcentral.
UAGGGAAUAUUGCAAAUGGGCGAAAGCCUGAUGUAGCAACGCCGCGUGUGCGAUGAAGGUCUUCGGAUUGUAAAGCACUUUUUGGAGGGAUGAGGAAGGACAGUACCUCCAGAAUAAGCCUCGGCUAACUACGUGCCAGCAGCCGCGGUAACACGUAGGAGGCAAGCGUUAUUCGGAUUCACUGGGCGUAAAGCGCGUGUAGGCGGCUUGGUAAGUUGGAUGUGAAAGCUCCUGGCUCAACUGGGAGAGGACGUUCAAUACUGCCGGGCUAGAGGGCGACAGAGGGAGGUGGAAUUCCCGGUGUAGUGGUGAAAUGCGUAGAUAUCGGGAGGAACACCAGUGGCGAAAGCGGCCUCCUGGGUCGCACCUGACGCUCAGACGCGAAAGCUAGGGGAGCGAACGG